RNAcentral lists this ribosomal RNA (492 nucleotides) under uncultured bacterium. RNAcentral describes it as "partial 16S ribosomal RNA". It matches the Rfam family "Bacterial small subunit ribosomal RNA", at positions 29 to 507 of the family's 1533-position model. The record is from RNAcentral.
AGUGAACGCUGGCGGUAGGCCUAACACAUGCAAGUCGAGCGGCAGCACAGUAAGAGCUUGUUGUUACGGGUGGCGAGUGGCGGGCGGGUGAGGAGUAUAUCCGUAUCUAUUUUUUCUUGGGGGCGAACGCAGGGAAUCUUACGGUAAUAGCGCAUACGAAGUACGGGUGGAAGCAUGGGAUCUCAGGCCCUCGCGCGAUUGAAGGACCGGAUGUCGGAUUAGCUAGUUGGCGGGGUAAAGGCCCACCAAGGCGACGAUCCGUAGCUGGUCUGAGAGGAUGAUCAGCCACACUGGAACUGAGACACGGUCCAGACUCCUACGGGAGGCAGCAGUGGGGAAUAUUGGACAAUGGGCGCAAGCCUGAUCCAGCCAUGCCGCGUGGGUGAAGAAGGCCUUCGGAUUGUAAAGCCCUUUUAUUGGGAAAGAAAAGCAGCAGGUUAAUACCCCGCUGUUCUGACGGUACCAAAAGAAUAAGCACCGGCUAACUUCGUG